UACGGUGUGCUUCCUGUGUAUUAGGCAC
Molecule: non-coding RNA, 28 nt
Filed under: Homo sapiens (human)
Lineage: Eukaryota; Metazoa; Chordata; Mammalia; Primates; Hominidae
Source: RNAcentral